AAAAAAAUUUCGAGUCCUCACAGACAGUGCACUAGGGAUUUAAGUAAUCAACUCAUAUUAUAGAUUCAUAUUGUAAAACAAGUGUGAUACCUAAAUUUCUAUUUUCAAUAAUAAUAAAAGGCCAAUUAUGUCAUUACAUACUUUUUGGUGCGAGAUAAACUUUUUAUACAUUCAAGUAGUUUUUAUUUUGCGCCGAAGUGUAUAUUUAUAAGGUUUAGUGUGACGGCCCCACAUUCUCCUAGGGCAUACCCUAGGAGUUAGCGGUUCGCCUGUCUGACUCUCGCCAGGACUCAUUUAUUUUCAUUAACUUCGGAGAUAACAUUUCCAUUAAACAACUGACUGUUCACUCCUAGUGCAACUCCCAUCAACUUGAAACAUAAAAUUGUCCAAUAAAAGAAACAAAAUAUACAUUCUAAACAUCCAUUCUUAAUACCACAUCAAACUCAUGAUGAAAGGUUCGACCAGUUCAAGGUACAAAGGAAACCAUGACUACAAUAUAUACAUACUAACGGAUCUUCCAAAACAACUUCCUAAUUCAACUCGAUCAUUCUUCAAACUUCAAUUCCUGUAAGGAAAACAAAGCUGAGGGGAUGAGCUUACGUCCAGUGAGGUUUCCGUGCAAGCAACAAUCAAUAAACACUUAAACCAGAUAAGCCAGUAACAAAAUUAAGCAAGUAAGGAAUACUUCACUGAACAAUCACUUUUGAAAGGAUACGGUGCUCGCAUUAGAGCCACUUCAAUGCACUACACACUCCGCCGAACUCCUCCUUAUAACCUCAAAAACAGUAAACACUUCCCUUAUUUAGAUAGCCAUAUCAAUAUCAGUAAUCUGCUACUCCGUGGUAAUACUCGAGCAUACUAAUACACUUACCCAAAGCUACCAUCCUAUCCGACCAAGCCCUUUUGUUGACUCGAAUAGUCCGUUGAACAAAGGGUUUUGGGGCCCAGUUCAGCCGGUGUGGUAAAAUACACACACGACUUACAGUCAUGCACACUUACAAUAACACUUGAUCAAUUAUCAACCUUCAAGCUCAAACUAAGUUGAGUGCAAUAAAGUACACUCUCGACUUAGAAGGCGAGGGACAAUUGAAACACACUUCAUAAUAAAGUACUGGCAUAAUCAUACAAACAUCAUUUAAGUAACACAUAGGCAAUUUAAACACACAAAUGUGGAAACACUCACUUAGUCAAACAUAUUGCACUUCGGUCUCGAGAUUGCUUUUACACCCACUAGUAGUUCCUGAGACAAAUUUCAAGUACUAUGAUUAUGGCAUAAUUCUAGGAAUAGUCACUAAAUGCAGUUACUUUCAUCCCCAAUCCGGAUUCUAAGUUGGUUAUACCAAAUUUAAUCGUUAGAAGAUACCCAAAGUACAUAUAUCGUUCACUUUAGUAUAAUUUAGCUAAGUUCAAGCACAAUAAUAUUGUAUAAAAUCUACCGAGCAACUCAAGUUAAAACCAAAAUUAAUUAAGGUUAAGAUUUAGUCUUAAAGGUAGAAUAAUUGUCCAGGUUCACUUCUUCCGUUUCCUCCUAAAUUAGUCUUUUCUAAAUUAAAACUCAACGCGUACCUCAUGCAUGUCUAGUUUUAGAUGUUAAGAGAUGUAUGAAGCAAGGAUAUACUUAUUAGUAACCAAAGUUAGGGAGUUAAAGCUGAAAUUUCCCUUACUUACCCUCUCCUCGGCCCUCAUUAAAAAUUCCAACAAUGUUCCUUAAGUUUUCACUCUUAAACAACCAACUUUCACUAGAACCAAAAACAGAACAUAUGUUACGAAUGAGCACAUAACAGGAUUUCUGCAGGUCAAAUUACUAAAAUUUCUGAUACAAGUUGGAAAACCAACUCCUUUUCUCUUGGCCAAAGCUGGAGCAAUUCCAGCAAGUGAACCAACUAUAAAACAAACACAAACCAGCUCUAAACUUUACAUGCAUCACUCUAGAAACAUUAGACAAGGCAUAAAUCAUGGAUUUCAGUUACCAUCUAGCAAAAUUUCCAAGAAAUAACCAAAGUUGCAUCGUGUUCUUCUUUCCUCCUAGUUUGCUGUCUUAAUGUUCCAGAUUUGUUCCUGCUUUAAAGUUCAUCUUUUCUUACUUUUCAACUUUCAAGUGUUACAUGCAUGUCAAUAUUAAAUUAUUAUAAGGUGUGAACAAUAACAAUAUGCAAUUUACAGCCCGAAAAUCCAUGGAGAAAACUGGAAAAUUUCACCAUUUCUCUCUCUCGGUCCAUCCCAACAGGUUCCAGCAGGUUUCUUUGACAUUUCCAGCCAAGAUUACCAAUGUUUUUACUAGUUUUGCAGAUAAAUAUCCUAUAAGAUCAGAGAUAAACAUAUUUCAUGCAUUCCUAGCAUAAUUCUCCAUAGAAAAUUCAGAUAACAGCUGUAACUCAAGCAAAUAACUCUCGGUUCCUUCAAAUUUCUGUCCGACAGUUUCAUCUUCUUCUAAACAGAAUUUUACCUUAGUUAAGAAUUCAUUUUCUUUGCUAAACUCCAACAUACAGCUUAAGCUCUAUGUAUAUUAGCUGUACGAGAGAAGAUUGCAGAAUGUUUACCUUCCUUUCCACCUAGAAUCAGUAAAUUGCAGCUACUCUUUAGGUCCUCUGCUCUGACUCCUUCUAACAGCUCCCGUUACUUCCUCUCCUUCUAUCUACUCCACUUCUCACUUAGUUAAAGCUGAUAGAUGAUGAAACCGCAGGAUUUCUCUCCCUUUUUCCUCUCUCUCACUUUUGGCUCACGGUUCUGAGGUUGCAAGCUGGAGAAAUGAAGCUAGCAAAUGUCUAACUCUCUCUCCCUCUCUCUCUCUCGGUUGCAAGCUGAACAAAGAGGAACCAAAAAUAUUUUCUUUCCUCCCUCUCGGUCGUGUAUUGAGAUGAACGAAAUGUAGCUUAGUCUCUCUCAGUUUUGCUCUUAGUGUUCGGUUAGUAAGAAGAGUAAUUGGAGUUUUCUUUGCCCUUAGCCACAGCCCAAAUUUAAGCAGGUAGUUCUCUUCUUUUCCUCUCGGUUGUUUAUAUAGCUUGAAUGAAAGAAAGAACAGCAAUGCCACCUAAUUCCUCUUGCUCUCGGUUACUCCUGACUCAGCAAUUGUUCCACCGCCCAAACCAACUCCUAUUUACUUCCUCGUUCCACCGUUUAGGCUUAGUAGCUCAUUGGCAGCUGCCUUCCUUUGGUUC
This 3158-nucleotide long non-coding RNA is filed under the name Coffea arabica (coffee). RNAcentral's name for it is "long non-coding RNA (CARA_LNC007805)". The record is from RNAcentral. Lineage: Eukaryota; Viridiplantae; Streptophyta; Magnoliopsida; Gentianales; Rubiaceae.